Streptomyces sp. WM6378 is the source of this 212-nucleotide non-coding RNA. The record is from Rfam. NCBI's taxonomy places the organism in Bacteria, Bacillati, Actinomycetota, Actinomycetes, Kitasatosporales, Streptomycetaceae.
CAACUCCCCAGCGUCUAGGGUGACGGCGCCGUGGUGUUCGGGAAGACCGGUGCGAAACCGGAGCGGCCCUCGCCACUGUGAUCGGGUUCCCCGGGUUCCGGGGAGCCGCCGUCCCCUCGCGACGCCACUGGCCAGGAUCCACCUGCCCGGGAAGGCCGGGACCGCGGCACCCGCCCGUCAGCCAGGAGACCGGCCGCGGCAUCUCACGAAGU